Molecule: long non-coding RNA, 541 nt
Filed under: Solanum tuberosum (potato)
Lineage: Eukaryota; Viridiplantae; Streptophyta; Magnoliopsida; Solanales; Solanaceae
Description: long non-coding RNA (STUB_LNC011165)
Source: RNAcentral
CACCCCCUUCACCUUACUAUUACAAUUCACCACCACCUCCGCCCCCAAAUUCGCCUCCUCCUCCACCAGUAUACAUAUACUCAUCACCUCCGCCACCAAAUUCACCUCCUCCUCCACCGCCAACAUACGUAUAUUCUUCACCUCCUCCACCUCCUUCCCCAUUGCCUUGUAUAGAACCCCCUCCACCACCUCCUCCUUGCAUUGAACCACCCCCACCCCCCUCCCCUUCACCAUCUCCUCCUCCACCACCGGUUUAUCAUUACAAUUCUCCGCCCCCACCAUCUCCAUCACCUCCACCACCAGUUUAUUAUCAUUACAAUUCUCCGCCCCCACCAUCUCCAUCACCUCCACCACCAGUUUAUUAUUACAAUUCUCCACCACCACCAUCACCACCGCCUACUCCAGUAUACGAAGGGCCAUUACCACCAGUAAUAGGAGUUCAAUAUGCUUCACCACCUCCACCACCCUUUUAUUAAUUCUUUCAGAAAUUUCACUAACUCUUAUCCUCAGAGCACAAAAUAGUUCCUACAAUUAUUAUUUC